UGGGGCCUGGGUCUUGCCCUGUGUGGCAGAGGGUCCUGCCCUGCAUGGUCAUGGCUCUUUCUGACCCACCCUUGCCUUGAAGCCCUCUCGGGCACAGCCUGAUGGAGGAGGUUGCAGGGCCACUUGCCGUGGACCAGCCUGGCCGCCUCUUCUGUCAUGGCAUGGCCUUUAGUCCCCUCUCUGGACCCGAGGCUGUGGUCCCCACAGGGAUCCAUGGUGUGACUCGUGUCCGGGUGGUUUCAGCUGGGGCUGCGCCGUCCACAUUACUCAGGAGCUGACCCAGCUGGCCUCCCGGGAGCUGCCCCCCAGCCUGGAUCUCCGCCCCGGGGUCUCCACGCAGGAGUGCAGCUGGGUGCAGGUGGACUCGGCAGGCCCACAGCACGGGCUGCCCCAGCUUCCCCUGCCCCGCCAGGCCCACUGCUGGCCCUGGGCUGCAGAGCAUAGGAAGGACUGGGCUCGGGCUCUGGGAUCCCUGCCCCCGUGUGACGCGUUCCUCCCGGGCCUCUGUCCCUCUUGUGUAAGGGGGUGAGAAGUGCGUCAGGG
RNAcentral lists this long non-coding RNA (543 nucleotides) under Marmota monax (woodchuck). Lineage: Eukaryota; Metazoa; Chordata; Mammalia; Rodentia; Sciuridae. The record is from RNAcentral.